GCGCUAGUGGUUUAGUGGUAAAAUCUCAGUUUCCCAUACUGAGGCCCCGGGUUCGAUUCCCGGCUGGCGCA
Kluyveromyces lactis is the source of this 71-nucleotide transfer RNA. It matches the Rfam family "tRNA". Rfam says of the family: Transfer RNA (tRNA) molecules are approximately 80 nucleotides in length. The record is from Rfam. Lineage: Eukaryota; Fungi; Ascomycota; Saccharomycetes; Saccharomycetales; Saccharomycetaceae.